Molecule: ribosomal RNA, 497 nt
Filed under: uncultured bacterium
Lineage: Bacteria
Description: partial 16S ribosomal RNA
Rfam family: Bacterial small subunit ribosomal RNA
Source: RNAcentral
GAUGAACGCUGGCGGCGUGCCUAAUACAUGCAAGUCGAGCGAACGGACGAGAAGCUUGCUUCUCUGAUGUUAGCGGCGGACGGGUGAGUAACACGUGGAUAACCUACCUAUAAGACUGGGAUAACUUCGGGAAACCGGAUCUAAUACCGGAUAAUAUUUUGAACCGCAUGGUUCAAAAGUGAAAGACGGUCUUGCUGUCACUUAUAGAUGGAUCCGCGCUGCAUUAGCUAGUUGGUAAGGUAACGGCUUACCAAGGCAACGAUGCAUAGCCGACCUGAGAGGGUGAUCGGCAACACUGGAACUGAGACACGGUCCAGACGCCUACGGGAGGCAGCAGUAGGGAAUCUUCCGCAAUGGGCGAAAGCCUGACGGAGCAACGCCGCGUGAGUGAUGAAGGUCUUCGGAUCGUAAAACUCUGUUAUUAGGGAAGAACAUAUGUGUAAGUAACUGUGCACAUCUUGACGGUACCUAAUCAGAAAGCCACGGCUAACUACGUG